CUCUAUUUUAUGCUUAAAUUGGCUCCAGUUUGGCCAGUGGAAGCUCCUGGAAGCUGACUUCAUGUUCUUUUGCUAUGCCCCCAACAUAGACGGAAGAGC
Vicugna pacos (alpaca) is the source of this 99-nucleotide non-coding RNA. The record is from RefSeq and is a predicted model, not a curated record. Lineage: Eukaryota; Metazoa; Chordata; Mammalia; Artiodactyla; Camelidae.